UACGUAGGGUGCAAGCGUUAAUCGGAAUUACUGGGCGUAAAGCGUGCGCAGGCGGUUGUGCAAGACCGAUGUGAAAUCCCCGGGCUCAACCUGGGAACUGCAUUUGUGACUGCACAGCUUGAGUGCGGCAGAGGGGGAUGGAAUUCCGCGUGUAGCAGUGAAAUGCGUAGAUAUGCGGAGGAACACCGAUGGCGAAGGCAGUCCCCUGGGCCUGUACUGACGCUCAUGCACGAAAGCGUGGGGAGCGAACAGG
This 253-nucleotide ribosomal RNA is filed under the name uncultured bacterium. RNAcentral describes it as "partial 16S ribosomal RNA". It matches the Rfam family "Bacterial small subunit ribosomal RNA", at positions 524 to 776 of the family's 1533-position model. The record is from RNAcentral.